UCCUACGGGACGCAGCAGUGGGGAAUAUUGCACAAUGGGGGAAACCCUGAUGCAGCGACGCCGCGUGAGUGAAGAAGUAUUUCGGUAUGUAAAGCUCUAUCGGCAGGGAAGAAAAUGACGGUACCUGACUAAGAAGCCCCGGCUAACUACGUGCCAGCAGCCGCGGUAAUACGUAGGGGGCAAGCGUUAUUCGGAUUUACUGGGUGUAAAGGGGGCGUAGAAGGUAGAGCAAGUCUGAAGUGAAAGCCCGCGGC
This 254-nucleotide ribosomal RNA is filed under the name uncultured bacterium. RNAcentral describes it as "partial 16S ribosomal RNA". It matches the Rfam family "Bacterial small subunit ribosomal RNA", at positions 337 to 608 of the family's 1533-position model. The record is from RNAcentral.